Molecule: ribosomal RNA, 292 nt
Filed under: uncultured bacterium
Lineage: Bacteria
Description: partial 16S ribosomal RNA
Rfam family: Bacterial small subunit ribosomal RNA
Source: RNAcentral
GUGUCAGCCGCCGCGGUAAUACGUAGGGAGCAAGCGUUGUCCGGAAUCAUUGGGCGUAAAGCGCGCGUAGGCGGCCCGGUAAGUCCGUCGUGAAAGUCAAAGGCUCAACCUUUGAAUGUCGAUGGAUACUGCCGGGCUAGAGUCCGGAAGAGGCGAGUGGAAUUCCUGGUGUAGCGGUGGAAUGCGCAGAUAUCAGGAGGAACACCAAUAGCGAAGGCAGCUCGCUGGGACGGUACUGACGCUAAGGCGCGAAAGCGUGGGGAGCGAACAGGAUUAGAUACCCGUGUAGUCC